UGUGUACUCCCUCCGUUCCAAAAUACUUGACUUCCAUUUGUCCAAAAAUGGAUGUACCUAUAUACUAAGACAUGUUUAGAUACAUAUAUAUUUUGACAAAUAGAAGGCAUGUAUUGUGCAACGGAGGGAGUAGAAU
Non-coding RNA from Triticum urartu, 136 nucleotides. Lineage: Eukaryota; Viridiplantae; Streptophyta; Magnoliopsida; Poales; Poaceae. The record is from Rfam.